UUAUAAUAUAAUAGUUUUGUUUGUGGAAACACUACGUAAAUUUAUUACUGCAUUACGUGGUGUUUCCACAAACAAAACUAUUAUAUAUUUUAUCGCCAUGC
Paramuricea clavata is the source of this 101-nucleotide non-coding RNA. NCBI's taxonomy places the organism in Eukaryota, Metazoa, Cnidaria, Anthozoa, Malacalcyonacea, Plexauridae. The record is from the annotation of a GenBank genome assembly.